CAAUAAUAUGCGCCCCUAGAGUUAUCAUGGUAGCUCAUCGAUCAUGGCUGUAGCGGGACCACCUCCGGCUUCGUUGGCACUACCUCCGGCUUUGGUGGAAGCUCACCAGCCAGCACCGGAGGUGGCAGCUCCGGCUUCGGGAGUUCGGGUUGGGGCAGGGGCUGUGGUGGCACCGGCAAUGGCUCCGGCUUCGGCAGGGGUUGUGGUGGCACCGGCAAUGGCUCGGGCUUGGGCAGAGGUUGUGGUGGUACAGGAAGCGGCUCAGGCUUGGGCAGGGGUUGCGGUGGCACCGGCAGUGGCUCCGGCUUCGGCAGGGGCUGUGGUGGCAUCGGCAACGGCUCCGGCUUCGGCAGGGGCUGCGGUGGCAGUGGCAGUGGCUCAGGUUUGGGCAGAGGCUGUGGUGGCACCGGCAGGGGCUCCGGCUUCGGCAGGGGUUGUGGUGGCACCGGCAGUGGCUCGGGUUUAGGUAGGGGCUGCGGUGGCACCGGCAACGGUUCUGGCUUCGGCAGGGGCUGCGGUGGCACCGGCAGUGGCUCCGGCUUCGGCAGGGGCUGUGGUGGCACCGGCAGCGGCUCGGGUUUAGGUAGGGGCUGCGGUGGCACCGGCAGUGGCUCCGGCUUCGGCAGGGGCUGCGGUGGCACCGGCAGCGGCUCGGGUUUGGGCAGGGGCUGCGGUGGCACCGGCAGGGGCUCCGGCUUCGGCAGGGGCUGCGGUGGCACCGGCAGCGGCUCGGGUUUGGGCAGGGGCUGCGGUGGCACCGGCAGCGGCUCAGGGUUUGGCAGGGGCUCAGGAUUCGGUAGGGGCUGUGGUGGCACCGGCAGCGGCUCAGGGUUCGGCAGGGGCUGCGGCGGCACCGGCAAGGGCUCAGGCUUCGGUUCUUCAGGCUUGGGAAGAGGCGGCAGGUCAGGCUUCGGGAGCUCCUGCAUCCGCCGCGCCGCGUUGCUCAUGCCACCGCAUGAGAGCAGCAACGCCAGGACGAGCACGAAGGAGGACAUGGUGUUCGUGGAAGCCAUGGCG
RNAcentral lists this long non-coding RNA (1017 nucleotides) under Setaria italica (foxtail millet). RNAcentral's name for it is "long non-coding RNA (SITA_LNC001642)". The record is from RNAcentral. Lineage: Eukaryota; Viridiplantae; Streptophyta; Magnoliopsida; Poales; Poaceae.